This 243-nucleotide long non-coding RNA is filed under the name Homo sapiens (human). Its description in RNAcentral is "HSALNT0304202". The record is from RNAcentral. Lineage: Eukaryota; Metazoa; Chordata; Mammalia; Primates; Hominidae.
CACUGCACCCACCAGGUGAUUUGCAUAUUGUCCCCUAGGGUGGACCUUCCCUUGUGAGUCUGAGAUAAAAGCUCAGCUCUAUCCUUGCCUUGACUGAUCAGGACUCCUCAGUUCACCUUCUCACCAUGAGGCUCCCUGCUCAGCUCCUGGGGCUGCUAAUGCUCUGGGUCCCUGUGAGGAUAUUGUGAUGACCCAGACUCCACUCUCCCUGCCCGUCACCCCUGGAGAGCCGGCCUCCAUCUC